Molecule: ribosomal RNA, 476 nt
Filed under: uncultured bacterium
Lineage: Bacteria
Description: bacterial SSU rRNA
Rfam family: Bacterial small subunit ribosomal RNA
Source: RNAcentral
GAGUUUGAUCCUGGCUCAGAUUGAACGCUGGCGGCAGGCCUAACACAUGCAAGUCGAACGGUAACAGGAAGAAGCUUGCUUCUUUGCUGACGAGUGGCGGACGGGUGAGUAAUGUCUGGGAAACUGCCUGAUGGAGGGGGAUAACUACUGGAAACGGUAGCUAAUACCGCAUAACGUCGCAAGACCAAAGAGGGGGACCUUCGGGCCUCUUGCCAUCGGAUGUGCCCAGAUGGGAUUAGCUAGUAGGUGGGGUAACGGCUCACCUAGGCGACGAUCCCUAGCUGGUCUGAGAGGAUGACCAGCCACACUGGAACUGAGACACGGUCCAGACUCCUACGGGAGGCAGCAGUGGGGAAUAUUGCACAAUGGGCGCAAGCCUGAUGCAGCCAUGCCGCGUGUAUGAAGAAGGCCUUCGGGUUGUAAAGUACUUUCAGCGGGGAGGAAGGGAGUAAAGUUAAUACCUUUGCUCAUUGACG